AUGUCAGAGCUAGCUUCAAUCCCCUGCAGUUCCAAGAGGGCGCGAGGCACUAGUGAUGGUGUCGACAGGCUCAGCAGCCUUCCAGACGAGCUGCUACAUUGCGUGAUGUCCUUCCUGCCGAUGCCGGAGGCCGGGCGCACAAGUCUGCUCUCGCCGAGGUGGCUUAAUCUCUGGGCCUCUACGCCAUACAUCCGCAUCGACCACCAGGACUUUAUGGAUGACGGCAAGCUGAAGAAAUUCGGGGACCGCCUGCUGCUCAUGCGCGACAGAACUACUUCCUUGGAUAAAGCCUGGAUCUCUGUGCACCAUGUUGCUGAUAGGACCAUGUGUUAUGAGUGGAUUCGUCAUGCCAUCAUGCACAAUGUCUCGUUCGAGAGGAGUUUGAGGACAUGCCCGAUGUUCAGCAACCUGACAAGCCUGGUGCUGGGCGAGUGGUGCAUGGCUGCUGACUUCUACCCGCUGCUUCGCAUCCUCCAGCGCUCGUGCAAGCUGAAGGAGCUAAAACUUAAGCUCACAAAGGAGGAAUUUAGUACGUGCAAGGAUUCUGAACCUGCUCUGUCGUCAACAAGGGGAGCACUGCCGUCGGGCUCAGGCAGCCACCCUUGCAUCGAGAGGGUCAAAAUCUGCUGCCAUGAACAUGAUCCAAGGGUUAGCUCGUUGGUGCAGGCGUUGCAGCUGAUUGUCGGUGAUGUGAAAAUCAGCAUCGAGCAUCGCUGA
Molecule: ribosomal RNA, 717 nt
Filed under: Triticum aestivum (bread wheat)
Lineage: Eukaryota; Viridiplantae; Streptophyta; Magnoliopsida; Poales; Poaceae
Description: partial small subunit ribosomal RNA
Source: RNAcentral